Molecule: ribosomal RNA, 484 nt
Filed under: uncultured bacterium
Lineage: Bacteria
Description: partial 16S ribosomal RNA
Rfam family: Bacterial small subunit ribosomal RNA
Source: RNAcentral
AUUGAACGCUGGCGGCAUGCUUUACACAUGCAAGUCGAACGGCAGCGCGGGCUUCGGCCUGGCGGCGAGUGGCGAACGGGUGAGUAAUACAUCGGAACGUGCCCAGUAGUGGGGGAUAGCUCGGCGAAAGCCGGAUUAAUACCGCAUACUACCUGAGGGUGAAAGCGGGGGAUCUUCGGACCUCGCGCUAUUGGAGCGGCCGAUGGCAGAUUAGCUAGUUGGUGGGGUAAAGGCCUACCAAGGCGACGAUCUGUAGCUGGUCUGAGAGGAGGACCAGCCACACUGGGACUGAGACACGGCCCAGACUCCUACGGGAGGCAGCAGUGGGGAAUUUUGGACAAUGGGCGAAAGCCUGAUCCAGCAAUGCCGCGUGUGUGAUGAAGGCCUUCGGGUUGUAAAGCACUUUUGGCGGGAACGAAAAGGACUGUGCCAAUACCACGGUUCGAUGACGGUACCCGCAGAAUAAGCACCGGCUAACUACGUG